RNAcentral lists this non-coding RNA (1855 nucleotides) under Pongo abelii (Sumatran orangutan). Lineage: Eukaryota; Metazoa; Chordata; Mammalia; Primates; Hominidae. The record is from RNAcentral.
AUGAACAAACGAAAGUGGCGCGGAUUUCGGGGCGCCCAGCCGGAGCGAGCGCGGCCGCCAGCCGCAAGUCCGCAGCCGUGUCCCGCGCCCCACGCCGGCCUCCCCGGCGGCAGCCGGAGACCAGCGCCAGCACCGGCGGGGCAGCAGCAGAUGCGGGCCGAGAGCCGGGCAGGGGCGCAGAGGCGGCGUGGAUCGGCGCGGCGGGGAGCUCACCGCGAGGCUGGAGGCUGCGUCUGCGGGCGCACCAGGAGCUCAGGCAGCGGGCGAUCGAACGCUCUGUGGCGGGCGGUGGACGCUGCUGAAGCUCUGGCUCUGAGCUAACGGCUCCCCCGUCCGUGGGACCAAGCCCAGCAUUUUACAAACCCAGCUCCUUUCUCCAAGGGUCCUCAGAGUGCCCCUCCGCCACCCCCUGCAGGGCGCCGCAGACAAGGCGUUGACCUUGCGCUCCCUCCCCUCGCUGGGGAAGGACACACUAGCUGGCGUCAGCCCGGCUGGCCUGGGAAGUCGGACUAAGGACCCGAACUGGAACCCUCCACACCAGACAGCACAGACCACCCCAAGGCUGCUCAAUCCGCCCAAAGCCAAAAGUACGUGGGGGAUAUGGGUCCAGGUUGGGGUGCUUGGGAGAGGGCCCUGGGGGAGGGGUUCAGACAGUGCACACUCCAAAGGACUGAGGCGGCGCCACUGUGUUACCAUUUUAUUGAGUGUCUAAGCUAAAGACACCUUUGAAAGAACACUCCCGGCUUCUAUCUGGGAUGGGCGAACCAGCCUGAAGAGUCACCUGCUGGAUCCCUCCCUGCAGGCCCUGUCGUGUCCAUGUGCCUCCACCUCCAACACUCCCCAAGUCCUGGAGCCUCCCCUGUCACUCCAGUGCCUGACCAGUGAAUGGGUGCUGCCCCCACCACAGAGCUCCCUCCGGCUGAGGCAGAGGCCACUGGCUGGGCCUUUCUAGCCACCUUCCACCCCCCUUACACACAGGAAGCCCCGCAGGCUCCUGACCACAAUGGGAUCCUGACGCCGGAGCCCCUUAGGCCCUUUGCUCAGAAGGCCUCUGGUUAUUACCUCAAUUCUGAACAGCCAGGAGGCCUGAGACUGUCACCCACUUUGAUAAAUAUGGACCGACAGAAAGGUCAGGCCAUUGGUGCAAGACUCCAUGGCCAGCAGCCUGGGGCGGGGAGAACCCGGGGGUCUCACAGCCCCCAGCAGAGCCCAGCUUUCCUUGGGUUUUUACGUUCUUCCCAAAUGAUAUUUUCCCUUUUUCCCUCUCUACCUGCUUUCUGCCCCCCAUCUUCUCCCCUUUGGCUGCCCGCUCUCUCCCUGCCCCUCUCCCCUUCUUUGCCCUUUUUCCUCUCCCAGAGCUCCCCUGCCAGGACCUUGGUGCUGUGGAGACUGCGGGGAACCUGCUCUGCCCACACCUGCUCUGGCCCCUAGACAGAAGCACCUGGAGCCAACCACGGAACUCCAGAUCCCAGCUGUGUGACUGAAUCCACUCCAGCCUCUCUGAGCCAAAGCUGCUUGCAGAAGGGAGAGAUCCCAAUUCGAAGACUCCUGCGCAGAGCCUGUGGCCCUCUCUGCCAGGCCUCAGGGUGCCUGAGACACUCACCUCUCUGCCUCUGCAGUUGGGGCUGAGGCUGGGGCUGGCCGCCAGCCUCAGUUCUGGGAGCGCUGGGGUCGCCUGGGCCACAGGCCGCAGCAGCUCACCUCAGGACUGGGCUCUCUGGCCACUCUGGCCUGCUGGGGCUCAGGCUCUGGGGCAGGCUGGGCAGGGGGCUGAGCUGGCAGCGAUUCAGAGCCCUGGGGCUGGGGGCUGGAAUCCACCUCCUCCCACACAAGCUCGGCGGUGACUCUUCGGCCC